Molecule: ribosomal RNA, 418 nt
Filed under: uncultured bacterium
Lineage: Bacteria
Description: bacterial SSU rRNA
Rfam family: Bacterial small subunit ribosomal RNA
Source: RNAcentral
GAAUAUUGGGCAAUGGCCGAGAGGCUGACCCAGCCAUGCCGCGUGCAGGAAGAAGGCCUUCUGGGUUGUAAACUGCUUUUAUCUGGGAAGAAAACGCCCUUGCGAGGGUAACUGACGGUACCAGAUGAAUAAGCACCGGCUAACUCCGUGCCAGCAGCCGCGGUAAUACGGAGGGUGCAAGCGUUGUCCGGAUGUAUUGGGUUUAAAGGGUGCGUAGGCGGCCCUGUAAGUCAGUGGUGAAAUCCCAGGGCUCAACCCUGGAACUGCCAUUGAUACUGCAGGGCUUGAGUUCGGUUAAGGCGGGCGGAACUGGUGGUGUAGCGGUGAAAUGCAUAGAUACCACCAAGAACCCCGAUUGCGUAGGCAGCUCGCUGAGCCGAAACUGACGCUGAGGCACGAAAGCGUGGGGAGCGAACAG